Long non-coding RNA from Dendroctonus ponderosae (mountain pine beetle), 818 nucleotides. RefSeq lists it as uncharacterized. Lineage: Eukaryota; Metazoa; Arthropoda; Insecta; Coleoptera; Curculionidae. The record is from RefSeq and is a predicted model, not a curated record. The transcript is spliced from 2 exons.
CCGGAUCCAGCAGACUGCUAAGAGCCUUAAUGGUGAUUGUCAGCCCCCAGAUGCCGGUUAGAAUGGAAAUAAUCAGCACAGGCUGCAGAUCCGCAAUUUAGCAAUUUAAAGCAUUAUCAGCCAAAGACUUAUUAGAAAACUCUGAUUACCGGAUUCUCUGCCCACAUGAGCAGGAACACAAAAUAGACCAGCCCCUGUACUAGAGGCACCUGCAGCACCAAACACUGGAGCCAAUCGAUAGCCUUCCUGCAACAUUGCAAAAUCAGCACCAAUCAUAAAAGUGGGCGGUGGCCUAACUUUUGCACAGCGAAAGUGGGCAGAGCGCAGCAGGGCCAACAGCAGCACGGGGGCUCUUUGAGGUCGAUCCGAACUGAGCCGGCUGUUUCGAUCAGGGAGGCGUGGCCCCCACCGUAGGCCAUCAAAAGGCAGAAAAGCUGAUACAAGGCCGCGGUUAUAAAGCCUUGGCUGAGUGCCUCGCACAGUAAGCUAGAGCGCGGCACCAGUAGGGAGCAGUAGCUCAGAAAACCUAUCACCUAAAGGGCCGUAAGGCUGUUAGAGUUCUCUAGGAGUUUAGCGGAUGAAUGGGGCCUUACCGGGUAGAUUGCUGUUAUAAAGGUUGUGAAGGUUUUGGCCUUUGAGCAGCUGCGGCGCAGGAUGAAGCGAAGGGUGUUGGCGAAUACCAGCAGGGAGAACAUCAGGAAGGCCGCUCCUACUGCAGCCAAUGGGAUCACAUAGAUUGAAGCACCUAGAGGAGAUGAGACAACGCGCUUUAUCAGCAAUUAGACAAAUUAGGUUCAAUAAAGUUAUUGCAAAAUGCA